UUUCUCCGGAAAUUGCCGAGCAGGUUCCGAGCGCCAUUCUUGUCUGCUUCGGCAAAUUCCGGAAAUUGCCGAAGCGAGUCGAAUGGGCUUCCAUUGCCGUUUCGGCUUUUUCCGGCGACUGUCGAAGCGGAUAAGCUCGACGACCACGGGUCCUUCGGCUCAUUUCGGAGACAGCCAUUACUAACGGAGUUGAUGACUUUUUAUUACGUGAUAAAAACACGUAGGGGCUUUAUACAGAACUGCUGCCCCUUUGGAGAUAUUUAAGCUCCAGAUUCAAGCUUUUUUUUUUUUUUUAAAAAAAAACCUAAAACCUCGGAAGCGAGCCUGGGCCGGAGAAGGAGGGCGCUAGCACUACGUGGAGCUGAAUUUCAAAUUACGUAACAGUUAAGGCAGCCAUUACUGACCAGUUGUACGGUACUCUCAAGCAGGAAUACGUAAACCAUGAAGAAUAUGAGGGAAAAGGAGCAGUUCCGCAAACUGUUCAUUGGCGGCUUAAGCUUUGAAACAACAGAGGAAAGCUUGAGGAGUUACUAUGAGCAAUGGGGAAAGCUUACAGACUGCGUGGUAAUGAGGGAUCCUGCAAGCAAAAGAUCAAGGGGGUUUGGUUUUGUAACAUUCUCCUCCAUGGCUGAAGUUGAUGCAGCCAUGGCUGCAAGACCUCACACGAUUGAUGGAAGGGUGGUUGAACCUAAGAGAGCUGUGGCUAGAGAGGAAUCUGGAAAACCUGGUGCUCAUGUUACUGUGAAAAAACUAUUUGUUGGCGGUAUUAAAGAGGACACUGAAGAGCACCACCUUCGUGACUACUUUGAGGAAUACGGAAAGAUCGACACUAUUGAAAUUAUUACUGACAGACAGUCUGGUAAAAAGAGAGGGUUUGGAUUUGUUACAUUUGAUGACCAUGAUCCUGUGGAUAAAAUUGUAUUGCAGAAGUAUCACACCAUCAAUGGCCAUAAUGCAGAAGUAAGGAAAGCUCUCUCUAGACAGGAAAUGCAGGAAGUUCAAAAUUCUAGGAGUGGGAGAGGAGGGAACUUUGGUUUUGGUGAUGCACGUGGAGGGGGUGGCAACUUUGGUCCUGGACCUGGCAGCAAUUUCAGAGGGGGAGCCGAUGGGUAUGGAAGUGGCCGUGGAUUUGGUGAUGGGUAUAACGGAUAUGGUGGAGGACCUGGAGGUGGCAACUUUGGUGGCAGUCCUGGUUAUGGAGGAGGAAGAGGAGGAUAUGGUGGAGGAGGACCUGGAUAUGGCAACCAGGGUGGGGGCUAUGGAGGUGGUUAUGACAACUAUGGAGGAGGCAAUUAUGGAAGUGGAAACUAUAAUGAUUUUGGAAACUACAACCAACAACCUUCAAAUUACGGUCCAAUGAAGAGUGGAAAUUUUGGUGGCAGCAGGAACAUGGGGGGACCAUAUGGUGGAGGAAACUAUGGUCCAGGGGGCAGUGGAGGAAGUGGUGGAUAUGGAGGGAGGAGCCGUUACUGAGUUUCUGCAAGCAUGCCAUGGCUAUGAUAUGAACCCUGGACAAGCAUAGACUGCUGCCACUGUACACUGCUACAGUUGAACAAAUGAGACCUGCAAGUGUCCAUUAGUAAAGCUUUGCAAGGGUUCCAUCCCUGGUGUUGGUAGUUAAAAUGGAAGGUGCCAUGCUGCAGGUAACUAAUGAAGAAGUGGUCAACCACAGAAACGCUUCAAGAAAUAAGAAAUUCUGUAUCAUCAGAAAAUAGUUGUUUUUGCUGCCUUCAUUAAAAAUCUAGAGGUUAAAUGAAUACUGAUAAAACAUCACAAUUAGUACAGCUCCCUGUAAUGCUGGGUUUUUUAAAUUAUAGUAUUAAUGUCUUGUAAACCUUUCAAAUAAAAUUCAGAUUCGUUAGGAGAAACAAAUCACUAAUGUUAAAAUAGCAAACAUUCUGUGAGUAGAAAGUUUAACUACAUAUUUUUAUAACUUUCAUAGCUUUAAAAUAAAGUAUUUUUUAUACCAAAGUAGUUCUAGUGUAAUGCUUAAUAAAACUUAGUGUGUGUCUAACAUUAAAUAAUGUUGAUGUGCAGCUUUUAGACCCUUUCAUGAUUUGAAACAUUCCAUUUUGAGGUGGAUUUAAAACAAAAGUCAACUUGGCAAGUGUAUUCACAGAACUUGUACCUCUGACCCUAGGUGCCUGUUCUCUGUUGGGAGAAACAGUGCUACAAAUUAAAAAUGCUGAUCUUUUUGCUGUUGGACACAAUUGCUUUAAAAUAGCUUUUUGGCUGUGUUUUUAUAUCAUUUUAUAAAAAAUAUCUCCUCCUUUCCUGUUAAUGAAACUAACCACUUCAGACAGUUCAUCAAAAUGUGAUAGAACAAUAGCUUUAUCGUUUUCACCUGUAAAGAGCUUUUAGCAUCGAGAGGGAAAGACUGAAUGGGAUGUAGAGUUCCUGCUGUGCCAGAACUGCAUUACUGAUAGCUGCAUCUUCUGGGGGGGAAACCAGCAACAACAACAAAAAAACCCCAAACCAAACUCCCAAGUGUGAGCUUGGGAAACUUGGGAGUGGAUUUGAGGGAAUGCGUCUUCGGUCUGUACUGUUUUAACCUGUUAGGUAGAAUGUUUAUUCUAAACUUGAAAUUUAUAUGUUUUGCUUUGGCAGAAUCAUCAAGUCUUUAACCUUCUUUACAUAAUUCAAAAAUAUUAUUUAAGGAUUCACAUAUGAUUUUUUCCUGUGUUUCUUAAGUUGAACUUUGAAAUACUUGCAUAGGUGGGCUGCAACGGAAGCAGAAAAUGAAGACGCGCAAAGUCUGCUUUACUUUCUUCUUUCCAACAGAAUGAGUUGACCAGUUAAGGAAUUUGCCUUCUUUCCUGGAGCUUAGAUUUAGUUAAUGGAAGUUUUUUCUUUACAGUUGGCAAGUCCACAUUCAUAUGACAUUAAAAAAACCCCACACCACUUCAGAGGGGAGUAAUUCUCUCUCUUUAAAACAUGUACACUCUUAGUUGUUUUGCAACAAGGUUUAGAAUUAACUACAUCAUAUUUUCCAUAAUGAGGAUGUUUUUAAUUUUGAUCUAUGGGCCAUGGGGGAAAGGGGGAGUGUAUAGGGGACAGCAGUAUGCAAAAAAUACAUUUGGAUAUUCAAAGCCUUGAAAGCUUGGAGUAUUUGAGUAAGUUUCCUGUUGUCUUACUGUUGAACUUUCAUGACUUUCCUUUCUUGGUAUGUUGGUAAGACUUAAAGCAAGUGACAGUCACAAUGAUUACUGAUGAAUUCACUAAGAGAAGUCACUGUUUUGAGUCAACCCGAUAAUGAAAGCUAGCAACUUUGAAUAAAAACAACAGCGUGUGGUCAACUGCUGGUCUUCCGUUUGUAGGCAAUAUAUACUUUUCCUCUUGAUUUCUAAGAAGUUGGUUUUAUGUCACUCGACAGACUUUUUGUUUUUAAAGUAGGAGUAACACUGCUGGUCAGCAUGUUUCGGUGUACUAAGAACUGAGGAUUGGGUUGUCAGUGCUAGGCCCAGCUUGUCCUUAGCAAACACUCUGCAGUAAACUAAGGGAAGAAUGUGAAAGAGAACAUAACUUGUUGGUAAUCAGUAUGGGAGCAAAAAAAAAACAAAACCACAAAACCUACAGUGUGUGACUUCCAUUUAUGCCAUGGUGGUGAAGAAGUCAAAUAUCAGGGUUCUGGCCACUCAGACUUUUGUGUUCUCUGUAGUAUUUACAAUGAAAGUGGUAUUUUAUUCACUUGUAUUACUCGUGCUUCAGGUGCUGAAGUGUGUUUAGGAAAAUGUGAGAAAUUGCUCUUAAUACUGUAAAAUUAGCAGGAGUUGAACUUUGUCAUGUCUGGAAAAGACGAUUGUGUUCUGUUAUGAUGAAUGUACAUACUAUCUUGGGGAUGAGAUCAUACUACUGGGGAAGAAAAACCCCCAAAAACAUAGAUCUGAGUUUUGAAGGAGUUGUCAGCUGAGUGUUUUGGCAACUUGACCAUGUUUGUGAAAGAGGACGAUUUACUGAGAACAUGCUGAAACAGCACAUUCCCCAUAGCUUUAGUGCUUCAGUUUGGUAUCAACGCAGGGUGUGAGGCAGGUGGAAUCCCGUAGUGCUGCUGUUACUUUUUUAUUCCUGAGAGAGAGGUUAGGUUCUGUUCUCACGGAUAGGGUGAUCCUGGUAGGAAUUGCAUGGGAAAGUAACGUGGGAGGGUGUUCCUGGGUGAUGAUGACCCCUUUUGCCAGAAGCUGUACCCUCCCUUUAACAGUUGUGUUCUUGCUUUGCAACAAGUGUUGAUUUGCAUUGCCACAGGAGUUACUGCAGUUAUUGUAAGAAAGAACUUGGUUUAUUUACCAACAGUAAAAGUAAACGGUGUUAAACGGCUGUGUGACUUGCCUGACAGAUGGCUGUGAAUGUACUAGGUCAACAGCGUUUGGGGACCGUGUAGUUUACAAACUAGGCUCUGUGACCUCCCACGCUGCUUCACUGUAUGAACAAAGUGACUGUGGGCAAGUCCCAGAAAAUUACUGUUCCCCCCAAGCUCUCACCAAUACGUCAUUUUCCCCCCCAUCCCUUCGCUUCCUCCUCCUUGGUCUGCUCUUUCUUGGUCCCUUCCUUAGCAUUCUUGUAAGGAAAUCAAUGCGUUUGAUGGAGUUUUAGUAGCUGUGUAGCAGGUAUGAAGUUGCAGUGCUUUUACAAAGUACACUACGGUCAUGAGACUUCACAUGGUUACAUGUGUCAUCUCUAUGUGGUUUAUUUAAUAAAGAGUUUUUCACUAGAACCUGGUGCUGUGUGUCCUGUUGCCUCAUUUAUAGGCUGCUACCUACUCUGUCCUCAAGCUUCUCGUUGGAACCAUACUUCUGACUCCUAUCUUAUACAAAUGUACCGUGUGUAUUUUGGGACAAAUACUGAGCUGUUCAAACUGAUUUUGAUGAAGUUGCUUUGUUCUUUGUUUCCUCUGUUCAAAGUUUGUUAUUCCACGCUACGCCAUCUAAAACUAGAUUGUGAGCUCUUGAGCAGGAACAGUCCUAGUUUGUAAAAUUUAGCUUCUGUAAAAAGCAAAGUGUUGAAUAAAAACCAAACCACGAAACUAA
Grus americana (Whooping crane) is the source of this 5024-nucleotide RNA transcript. It is a transcript of the gene named heterogeneous nuclear ribonucleoprotein A2/B1, with no coding region annotated. The record is from RefSeq and is a predicted model, not a curated record. The transcript has 12 exons. NCBI's taxonomy places the organism in Eukaryota, Metazoa, Chordata, Aves, Gruiformes, Gruidae.